This 252-nucleotide ribosomal RNA is filed under the name uncultured bacterium. RNAcentral's name for it is "partial 16S ribosomal RNA". It matches the Rfam family "Bacterial small subunit ribosomal RNA", at positions 524 to 776 of the family's 1533-position model. The record is from RNAcentral.
UACGGAGGAUGCGAGCGUUAUCCGGAUUUAUUGGGUUUAAAGGGUGCGUAGGCGGACGCUUAAGUCGGCGGUAAAAUUGCGGGGCUCAACCUCGUCGAGCCGUUGAAACUGGGUGUCUUGAGUGGGCGAGAAGUACGCGGAAUGCGUGGUGUAGCGGUGAAAUGCAUAGAUAUCACGCAGAACUCCGAUUGCGAAGGCAGCGUACCGGCGCCCAACUGACGCUGAAGCACGAAGGCGUGGGUAUCGAACAGG